AACGAACGCUGGCGGCAGGCUUAACACAUGCAAGUCGAACGCGUGUAGCAAUACACGAGUGGCGCACGGGUGAGUAACGCGUGGAUAUCUGCCUUUUGGUUCGGAAUAACCCCGGGAACUGGGCGUAAUACCGGAUGGUUCCUUCGGGAGUAAAGAAUUUAUUCGCCAAAAGAAUGAGUCCGCGUCCGAUUAGCUAGUUGGUGAGGUAAUGGCUCACCAAGGCGACGAUCGGUAGCUGGUCNGAGAGGACGAUCAGCCACACUGGGACUGAGACACGGCCCAGACUCCUACGGGAGGGCAGCAGUGGGGGAAGUAUUGGACGAAUGGGGGCGAACCCUGAUCCAGCCAUGCCGCGUGAGUGAUGAAGGCCUUCGGUUG
This 378-nucleotide ribosomal RNA is filed under the name uncultured bacterium. RNAcentral describes it as "bacterial SSU rRNA". It matches the Rfam family "Bacterial small subunit ribosomal RNA", at positions 29 to 425 of the family's 1533-position model. The record is from RNAcentral.